RNAcentral lists this ribosomal RNA (253 nucleotides) under uncultured bacterium. RNAcentral's name for it is "partial 16S ribosomal RNA". It matches the Rfam family "Bacterial small subunit ribosomal RNA", at positions 524 to 776 of the family's 1533-position model. The record is from RNAcentral.
UACGGAGGGUGCGAGCGUUGUUCGGAAUCACUGGGCGUAAAGGGCGCGCAGGCGGUUUGUUUAGUCAGAUGUGAAAGCCCACGGCUUAACCGUGGAAGUGCAUUUGAAACUGGCAGACUUGAGUACCAGAGGGGAAGGUGGAAUUCCCGGUGUAGAGGUGAAAUUCGUAGAUAUCGGGAGGAAUACCGGUGGCGAAGGCGACUUUCUGGCUGGAUACUGACGCUGAGGUGCGAAGGCGUGGGGAGCAAACAGG